GGCCACCCAAACUGCAUUAUUUUAUGACUCUGUAAUACAACUCAAAUCAUAAUACAAAAUCAACAGUUCGGCAAAAAUAAUAAUAUUAUUCCCGAUACAAUCACAUAAUUAUUUCCUCACAUUUAAUUUAAUUAAUCACAACCUCAAUUUACAUAACAUAAUAUUAACUCCUUUUAUAAUUAAUCUACAGUAAUUCUAGAAUCAUGCUACUAAUGAAUUAAAUAUUUUAAUUAAUUAAUUAUAACUAAUAAUUAAUAAACCAAAUAUUUUCUAAUAAUUCUAAAUUAAUUUUCAAAGUCUAAAUAAAAUUAUACCGAGCAGAAAUCCGAACUUCUGUGCGUCCAAAAAACACCAGAGUCUGAAAGCCGGUACCUCCAACGGUGUCAGAUUUCGAAUCGAGAGACGCCUACGCAAGCCCGAGUUAUGGGGAGUCUAAAUAUGCAAAUUUCUUCGCCUGAAACUCGCCGGAAGUCACUGGAUCGAGGCUGAAAAAUUUCACUCCAGUGAGGCUCACCCACUACUGUUGGCGAAGGAAAAGCAAUAGGGAAGCAAUAGGGAAGGGUUGCCUUGGGUUUUUUAGGGUCCAAGAAUCUGUUUCCAGCAUCAGAUUGGUGAAGAGACGUCGACAAGAGGCUAUUUCGGCAGGAACAAUGGAUGAGUCGACUUUUCCUCCUUGCUGCGGUGGGGAACGACAAAAAGGAGGGAGAGAGUGACGUCACCAACGAGAAAUGGAAGAGGGGAGGAAAGUUAGGUGGCUGGCAACGAUGUGGUAUGGUCGGAAAUGGGAGGGAGUGAGGAAAACGGAAGAAGAGGGUGGCAGGGAGAGAAAAGAAGGAGGAGAGAACAAUUUUUGUGUUAUGUUAUUAUUUUAUUAUUUUUUUAAAAUAAAAGAUGAAAAAAAUGCAAAUGAGGCCUUCUUCAAAAAGUUGCUACAAUG
This 937-nucleotide long non-coding RNA is filed under the name Ricinus communis (castor bean). RNAcentral describes it as "long non-coding RNA (RCOM_LNC000170)". Lineage: Eukaryota; Viridiplantae; Streptophyta; Magnoliopsida; Malpighiales; Euphorbiaceae. The record is from RNAcentral.